This 931-nucleotide long non-coding RNA is filed under the name Homo sapiens (human). Its description in RNAcentral is "non-protein coding MIR124-2HG:11". The record is from RNAcentral. Lineage: Eukaryota; Metazoa; Chordata; Mammalia; Primates; Hominidae.
AGCAAGCGAGGGGGAAAGACCGGACCGCUCCGACCCACCCCCUCCCUACCCCCACCUCCCACCUUAAAGCACCUUAUACCACGGAAGGCUCUCAGCCUCUUCUUUCCUCUGCGAACGCGCUGAGCAGCGAUUGAAAACGUUUUGGUCCUCUGCAGGGGCGCAUUCUGGGGUCUCUGCGCAAGACCAGCUCUCAGCUCUCUCUCCUUUCCUCGGACUCUGGAGCGGGAGCGGGCCUUUCCCUCGGGUCGACCACGCCGUAGGGGACGCCGUGAAAAGAGCCGUCGCGCCCGCUGCCUCCUGCCCGCUGCGCAGAGGGCUCCGCCCGUAGAGGUCAACUUCCCUCACCCUUUUCUCUCUCCUGCUUGCCCUCCCUCCGCCCGGCCCAGGCGCUUCCAGCCCCAGACUGUGGCCACUGGCUGAGGAGUGCGAGUCGGCUGCGCUGCCCUGAGCCUAAUCCCUCUUCCGGGCCCAGACCCGAGGUCCGCGCUCCUGGGCAGUGGGGAAGCUUUAGUGAGCAGGCUUUUCUCUCCGCAGCAAACUUGUAGCCAGACCAGAUGGGCCGCCCAGCUCUCUCGGGACUAGGCAGGUGCGGAUGAGUUAAUUUUUCCGCAUUACAAAGAAAGAUGACCCAGCCCGCCCUUGGACUCUCUUUUCCCAAAAUCUCCCAACCAAACCCGCGGUAACGUUAUCAAAGGACACAGAGCCCAGGCAUAUCUGUGUGUUUAUCUUACAGGCACACACGCAUGGUUUUCUCUUUUAUAUGCUAGAUUUCAUCCCUGACAGCAGAAAAUGAUUGGCAAUGGUUAUGACGGAGAACAUGCAAUAGCGUGGUCCUUAAAAACCUGCCAUUCCUUACAAGUGCCUUAGAAAGGAUUCAGGGCGAACCAACUGGGUUAAUUGCAUUCAGUAAAAUAACACGAUUACAAAAUUA